This 443-nucleotide ribosomal RNA is filed under the name uncultured bacterium. RNAcentral's name for it is "partial 16S ribosomal RNA". It matches the Rfam family "Bacterial small subunit ribosomal RNA", at positions 338 to 795 of the family's 1533-position model. The record is from RNAcentral.
CCUACGGGAGGCAGCAGUGGGGAAUAUUGCACAAUGGGCGAAAGCCUGAUGCAGCAACGCCGCGUGAAGGAAGACGGUUUUCGGAUUGUAAACUUCUAUCAAUAGGGAAGAAAGAAAUGACGGUACCUAAAUAAGAAGCCCCGGCUAACUACGUGCCAGCAGCCGCGGUAAUACGUAGGGGGCAAGCGUUAUCCGGAAUUACUGGGUGUAAAGGGAGAGUAGGCGGCAAGGUAAGCGAUAUGUGAAAGCCUUAAGCUUAACUAAAGGAUUGUAUAACGAACUAGCUAGCCAGAGUACAGGGGAGGGAAGCGGAAUUCCUAGUGUAGCGGUGAAAUGCGUAGAUAUUAGGAAGAACACCAGUGGCGAAGGCGGCUUUAUGGACUGAAACUGACGCUGAGGCUCGAAAGCGUGGGGAGCGAACAGGAUUAGAUACCCCGGUAGUC